This 661-nucleotide ribosomal RNA is filed under the name uncultured bacterium. Its description in RNAcentral is "bacterial SSU rRNA". It matches the Rfam family "Bacterial small subunit ribosomal RNA", at positions 48 to 803 of the family's 1533-position model. The record is from RNAcentral.
CUAAUACAUGCAAGUCGAACGAAGUGCGAACGGGUGAGUAAUACAUAGGUAACCUGCCCCUGUGCGGGGGAUAACAGGAGGAAACUCCUGCUAAUACCGCAUACGCAGGGAUGGACCUAUGGCGCAUUAGCUAGUUGGCGGGGCAACGGCCCACCAAGGCAACGAUGCGUAGCCGGCCUGAGAGGGCGGACGGCCACAUUGGGACUGAGACACGGCCCAGACUCCUACGGGAGGCAGCAGUAGGGAAUUUUCGGCAAUGGGGGAAACCCUGACCGAGCAACGCCGCGUGAGCGAAGAAGGCCUUCGGGUCGUAAAGCUCUGUUGUAAAGGAAGCGGUACUUUACCAGAAAGCCACGGCUAACUCGUGCCAGCAGCCGCGGUAAUACGUAGGUGGCGAGCGUUAUCCGGAAUCAUUGGGCGUAAAGAGGGAGCAGGCGGCCGCAAGGGUCUGUGGUGAAAGACCGAAGCUAAACUUCGGUAAGCCAUGGAAACCGGGCGGCUAGAGUGCGGAAGAGGAUCGUGGAAUUCCAUGUGUAGCGGUGAAAUGCGUAGAUAUAUGGAGGAACACCAGUGGCGAAUCGACGGUCUGGGCCGCAACUGACGCUCAUUCCCGAAAGCGUGGGGAGCAAAUAGGAUUAGAUACCCUAGUAGUCCACGCCGU